AGGGUGCAAGCGUUAAUCGGAAUUACUGGGCGUAAAGCGUGCGCAGGCGGUUCGGAAAGAAGGAUGUGAAAUCCCAGGGCUUAACCUUGGAAUGGCAUUCUUAACUGCCGAGCUAGAGUAUGUCAGAGGGGGGUAGAAUUCCACGUGUAGCAGUGAAAUGCGUAGAGAUGUGGAGGAAUACCGAUGGCGAAGGCAGCCCCCUGGGAUAAUACUGACGCUCAUGCACGAAAGCGUGGGGAGCAA
This 243-nucleotide ribosomal RNA is filed under the name uncultured bacterium. Its description in RNAcentral is "partial 16S ribosomal RNA". It matches the Rfam family "Bacterial small subunit ribosomal RNA", at positions 529 to 771 of the family's 1533-position model. The record is from RNAcentral.